This 1446-nucleotide ribosomal RNA is filed under the name uncultured organism. Its description in RNAcentral is "16S ribosomal RNA". It matches the Rfam family "Bacterial small subunit ribosomal RNA". The record is from RNAcentral.
CGAACGCUGGCGGCGUGCUUAACACAUGCAAGUCGAACGGAAAGGCCCUGCUUUUGUGGGGUGCUCGAGUGGCGAACGGGUGAGUAACACGUGAGUAACCUGCCCUUGACUUUGGGAUAACUUCAGGAAACUGGGGCUAAUACCGGAUAGGAGCUCCUGCUGCAUGGUGGGGGUUGGAAAGUUUCGGCGGUUGGGGAUGGACUCGCGGCUUAUCAGCUUGUUGGUGGGGUAGUGGCUUACCAAGGCUUUGACGGGUAGCCGGCCUGAGAGGGUGACCGGCCACAUUGGGACUGAGAUACGGCCCAGACUCCUACGGGAGGCAGCAGUGGGGAAUAUUGCACAAUGGGCGGAAGCCUGAUGCAGCAACGCCGCGUGCGGGAUGACGGCCUUCGGGUUGUAAACCGCUUUCGCCUGUGACGAAGCGUGAGUGACGGUAAUGGGUAAAGAAGCACCGGCUAACUACGUGCCAGCAGCCGCGGUGAUACGUAGGGUGCGAGCGUUGUCCGGAUUUAUUGGGCGUAAAGGGCUCGUAGGUGGUUGAUCGCGUCGGAAGUGUAAUCUUGGGGCUUAACCCUGAGCGUGCUUUCGAUACGGGUUGACUUGAGGAAGGUAGGGGAGAAUGGAAUUCCUGGUGGAGCGGUGGAAUGCGCAGAUAUCAGGAGGAACACCAGUGGCGAAGGCGGUUCUCUGGGCCUUUCCUGACGCUGAGGAGCGAAAGCGUGGGGAGCGAACAGGCUUGGAUACCCUGGUAGUCCACGCUGUAAACGGUGGGUACUAGGUGUGGGGUCCAUUCCACGGGUUCCGUGCCGUAGCUAACGCUUUAAGUACCCCGCCUGGGGAGUACGGCCGCAAGGCUAAAACUCAAAGGAAUUGACGGGGCCCCGCACAAGCGGCGGAGCAUGCGGAUUAAUUCGAUGCAACGCGUAGAACCUUAUCUGGGUUUGACAUGGAUCGGGAGUGCUCAGAGAUGGGUGUGCCUCUUUUGGGGUCGGUUCACAGGUGGUGCAUGGCUGUCGUCAGCUCGUGUCGUGAGAUGUUGGGUUAAGUCCCGCAACGAGCGCAACCCUUGUUCACUGUUGCCAGCACGUUAUGGUGGGGACUCAGUGGAGACCGCCGGGGUCAACUCGGAGGAAGGUGGGGAUGACGUCAAGUCAUCAUGCCCCUUAUGUCCAGGGCUUCACGCAUGCUACAAUGGCUGGUACAGAGAGUGGCGAGCCUGUGAGGGUGAGCGAAUCUCGGAAAGCCGGUCUCAGUUCGGAUUGGGGUCUGCAACUCGACCUCAUGAAGUCGGAGUCGCUAGUAAUCGCAGAUCAGCAACGCUGCGGUGAAUACGUUCCCGGGGCUUGUACACACCGCCCGUCAAGUCAUGAAAGUUGGUAACACCCGAAGCCGGUGGCCUAACCGUUGUGGGGGAGCCGUCGAAGGUGGGACUGGUGAUUAGGACUA